GACGAACGCUGGCGGCGUGCUUAACACAUGCAAGUCGAACGGAAAGGCCCUGCUUUUGUGGGGUGCUCGAGUGGCGAACGGGGGAGUAACACGUGAGUAACCUGCCCUUGACUUUGGGAUAACUUCAGGGAACUGGGGCUAAUACCGGAUAGGAUCUCCUGCUGCAUAGUGGGGGUUGGAAAGUUUCGGCGGUUGGGGAUGGACUCGCGGCUUAUCAGCUUGUUGGUGGGGUAGUGGCUUACCAAGGCUUUGACGGGUAGCCGGCCUGAGAGCGUGAACGGCCACAUUGGGACUGAGAUACGGACCAGACUGCUACGGGAGGCAGUAGUGGGGAAUAUUGCACAACGGGCGGAAGCCUGAGGCAGAAACGCUGCGUGCGGGAUGACGGCCUUCUGGUUGUAAACCGCUGUCGAAUUUGACGAAGCGUUAGUGACGGUAAUGGGUAAAGAAGCACCGGCUAACUACGUG
This 468-nucleotide ribosomal RNA is filed under the name uncultured bacterium. Its description in RNAcentral is "partial 16S ribosomal RNA". It matches the Rfam family "Bacterial small subunit ribosomal RNA", at positions 28 to 507 of the family's 1533-position model. The record is from RNAcentral.